GCUUGUCUCAAAGAUUAAGCCAUGCAUGUCUAAGUAUAAACGACUUUAUACUGUGAAACUGCGAAUGGCUCAUUAUAUCAGUUAUAGUUUAUUUGAUGGUCCUUGCUACUUGGAUAACCGUAGUAAUUCUAGAGCUAAUACAUGCAUUAAACCCCGACUUCUGGAAGGGGUGUAUUUAUUAGAUGGAAACCAAUGCGGGGUAACCCGGAAUAUGGUGAUUCAUAAUAACUUUCGGAUCGAUUUAUCGAUGCAUCAUUCAAGUUUCUGCCCUAUCAAUUUGAUGGUAGGAUAGAGGCCUACCAUGGUGGUAACGGGUGACGGAGAAUUAGGGUUCGAUUCCGGAGAGGGAGCCUGAGAAACGGCUACCACAUCCAAGGAAGGCAGCAGG
Molecule: ribosomal RNA, 388 nt
Filed under: uncultured Chrysophyceae
Lineage: Eukaryota; Chrysophyceae
Description: partial small subunit ribosomal RNA
Rfam family: Eukaryotic small subunit ribosomal RNA
Source: RNAcentral